AAUCCAUAGGUUAAUGAGGCGAACCGGGGGAACUGAAACAUCUAAGUACCCCGAGGAAAAGAAAUCAACCGAGAUUCCCCCAGUAGCGGCGAGCGAACGGGGAGGAGCCCAGAGCCUGAAUCAGCAUGUGUGUUAGUGGAAGCGUCUGGAAAGGCGCGCGAUACAGGGUGACAGCCCCGUACACAAAAGCGCAUGUGCUGUGAGCUCGAUGAGUAGGGCGGGACACGUGGUAUCCUGUCUGAAUAUGGGGGGACCAUCCUCCAAGGCUAAAUACUCCUGACUGACCGAUAGUGAACCAGUACCGUGAGGGAAAGGCGAAAAGAACCCCGGCGAGGGGAGUGAAAAAGAACCUGAAACCGUGUACGUACAAGCAGUGGGAGCCCCACCACUAAGCCAGUGGUGAACUCCACAUCCGCAUCCUUUGCUGAGGAUACGGUUAACGGAGCGAAAGCGACGUUCAACCGCAAAACAAGCAGAGGGGGCUUAGUGGUGGGGUGACUGCGUACCUUUUGUAUAAUGGGUCAGCGACUUAUAUUCUGUAGCAAGGUUAACCG
This 554-nucleotide ribosomal RNA is filed under the name Salmonella enterica subsp. enterica. RNAcentral describes it as "partial 23S ribosomal RNA". It matches the Rfam family "Bacterial large subunit ribosomal RNA", at positions 161 to 652 of the family's 2925-position model. The record is from RNAcentral. Lineage: Bacteria; Pseudomonadati; Pseudomonadota; Gammaproteobacteria; Enterobacterales; Enterobacteriaceae.